UACGUAGGUGGCAAGCGUGUCCGGAUUUAUUGGGUUUAAAGGGUGCGUAGGCGGUCUUAUAAGUCAGUGGUGAAAUACGGCAGCUCAACUGUCGAGGUGCCAUUGAUACUGUAGGACUUGAGUACAGACGAGGUAGGCGGAAUUGACGGUGUAGCGGUGAAAUGCUUAGAUAUCGUCAAGAACACCGAUAGCGAAGGCAGCUUACUAGGCUGUAACUGACGCUGAGGCACGAAAGUGUGGGGAUCAAACAGG
RNAcentral lists this ribosomal RNA (252 nucleotides) under uncultured bacterium. RNAcentral's name for it is "partial 16S ribosomal RNA". It matches the Rfam family "Bacterial small subunit ribosomal RNA", at positions 524 to 776 of the family's 1533-position model. The record is from RNAcentral.